Molecule: ribosomal RNA, 253 nt
Filed under: uncultured microorganism
Description: partial 16S ribosomal RNA
Rfam family: Bacterial small subunit ribosomal RNA
Source: RNAcentral
UACGUAGGGUGCGAGCGUUAAUCGGAUUUACUGGGCGUAAAGCGUGCGCAGGCGGCCCGUUAAGACAGGUGUGAAAUCCCUGGGCUCAACCUAGGAAUUGCGCUUGUGACUGGCGGGCUCGAGUACGGUAGAGGGGGGUGGAAUUCCUGGUGUAGCAGUGAAAUGCGUAGAGAUCAGGAGGAACACCGAUGGCGAAGGCAGCCCCCUGGGCCUGUACUGACGCUGAUGCACGAAAGCGUGGGGAGCAAACAGG